ACGGCUCAGUAACACGUAGGUAACCUACCCUUCGGACGGGCACAACCCCGGGAAACUGGGGCUAAUUCCCGAUAGGUACCCCCUUCUGGAAUGUGGGGAUAUCCAAAGCUCCGGCGCCGAAGGAUGGGCCUGCGGCCGAUUAGGUUGUUGGCGGGGUAACAGCCCACCAAGCCGACGAUCGGUACGGGCAGUGAGAGCUGCAGCCCGGAGAUGGGGACUGAGACAAGGCCCCAGGCCCUACGGGGCGCAGCAGGCGCGAAACCUUCACAAUGCACGAAAGUGUGAUGAGGGUACUCCGAGUGCGCAUACAUUGUAUGUGCUUUUCUGCAGCGUAAAUAGUUGCAGGAAUAAGGGCUGGGCAAGACCGGUGCCAGCCGCCGCGGUAACACCGGCAGCCCUAGUGGUGGCCGCUUUUAUUGGGCCUAAAGCGUCCGUAGCCGGACAGGCGAGUCUUUGGGUAAAUCCUACGUCUUAAGCGUGGGAAUUCUAAAGAUACUACCUGUCUUGAGGCCGGGAGAGGCUGGAGGUACUCCUGGGGUAGGGGUAAAAUCCUAUAAUCCUGGGGGGACCACCGAUGGCGAAGGCAUCCAGCUGGAACGGGCCUGACGGUGAGGGACGAAACCCAGGGGAGCGAGCCGGAUUAGAUACCCGGGUAGUCCUGGGCGUAAAUGAUGUGGGCUUGGUGUGAGCGCAUCGACGAGGUGCGCUUGUGCCGUAGGGAAGCCGUUAAGCCCACCGCCUGGGGAGUACGGUCGCAAGGCUGAAACUUAAAGGAAUUGGCGGGGGAG
RNAcentral lists this ribosomal RNA (788 nucleotides) under uncultured euryarchaeote. RNAcentral describes it as "bacterial SSU rRNA". It matches the Rfam family "Archaeal small subunit ribosomal RNA", at positions 85 to 876 of the family's 1478-position model. Lineage: Archaea; Methanobacteriati; Methanobacteriota. The record is from RNAcentral.